AUUCAAAACGUUCACUGGGACUAGCUUUUGUGAACACACAAAUAUCAAUUGGAAUGUAUGAAAUCAUCAUUUAGUUGCACAAUUAAAUAGAUGGGCGAAUUGAACAGGGGAUUGAAUAUAAAAGUGCAUGCCUUCACCCGGAGAAAUAUUAAUUAGGGUGGUGUACAUUGUAAGAACUGCUCAAUACAACUUUCGAAUGAUAUAGCUCCUUUCAUUCCCAAAAGUGGGUCUGUGAGGAU
This 239-nucleotide long non-coding RNA is filed under the name Hordeum vulgare. Its description in RNAcentral is "long non-coding RNA (HVUL_LNC006665)". Lineage: Eukaryota; Viridiplantae; Streptophyta; Magnoliopsida; Poales; Poaceae. The record is from RNAcentral.